GAUGAACGCUGGCGGCGUGCCUAAUACAUGCAAGUCGAGCGAACGGACGAGAAGCUUGCUUCUCUGAUGUUAGCGGCGGACGGGUGAGUAACACGUGGAUAACCUACCUAUAAGACUGGGAUAACUUCGGGAAACCGGAGCUAAUACCGGAUAAUAUUUUGAACCGCAUGGUUCAAAAGUGAAAGACGGUCUUGCUGUCACUUAUAGAUGGAUCCGCGCUGCAUUAGCUAGUUGGUAAGGUAACGGCUUACCAAGGCAACGAUGCAUAGCCGACCUGAGAGGGUGAUCGGCCACACUGGAACUGAGACACGGUCCAGACUCCUACGGGAGGCAGCAGUAGGGAAUCUUCCGCAAUGGGCGAAAGCCUGACGGAGCAACGCCGCGUGAGUGAUGAAGGUCUUCGGAUCGUAAAACUCUGUUAUUAGGGAAGAACAUAUGUGUAAGUAACUGUGCACAUCUUGACGGUACCUAAUCAGAAAGCCACGGCUAACUACGUGCCAGCAGCCGCGGUAAUACGUAGGUGGCAAGCGUUAUCCGGAAUUAUUGGGCGUAAAGCGCGCGUAGGCGGUUUUUUAAGUCUGAUGUGAAAGCCCACGGCCCAACCGUGGAGGGUCAUUGGAAACUGGAAAACUUGAGUGCAGAAGAGGAAAGUGGAAUUCCAUGUGUAGCGGUGAAAUGCGCAGAGAUAUGGAGGAACACCAGUGGCGAAGGCGACUUUCUGGUCUGUAACUGACGCUGAUGUGCGAAAGCGUGGGGAUCAAACAGGAUUAGAUACCCUGGUAGUCCACGCCGUAAACGAUGAGUGCUAAGUGUUAGGGGGUUUCCGCCCCUUAGUGCUGCAGCUAACGCAUUAAGCACUCCGCCUGGGGAGUACGACCGCAAGGUUGAAACUCAAAGGAAUUGACGGGGACCCGCACAAGCGGUGGAGCAUGUGGUUUAAUUCGAAGCAACGCGAAGAACCUUACCAAAUCUUGACAUCCUUUGACAACUCUAGAGAUAGAGCCUUCCCCUUCGGGGGACAAAGUGACAGGUGGUGCAUGGUUGUCGUCAGCUCGUGUCGUGAGGUGUUGGGUUAAGUCCCGCAACGAGCGCAACCCUUAAGCUUAGUUGCCAUCAUUAAGUUGGGCACUCUAAGUUGACUGCCGGUGACAAACCGGAGGAAGGUGGGGAUGACGUCAAAUCAUCAUGCCCCUUAUGAUUUGGGCUACACACGUGCUACAAUGGACAAUACAAAGGGCAGCGAAACCGCGAGGUCAAGCAAAUCCCAUAAAGUUGUUCUCAGUUCGGAUUGUAGUCUGCAACUCGACUACAUGAAGCUGGAAUCGCUAGUAAUCGUAGAUCAGCAUGCUACGGUGAAUACGUUCCCGGGUCU
This 1372-nucleotide ribosomal RNA is filed under the name uncultured bacterium. Its description in RNAcentral is "bacterial SSU rRNA". It matches the Rfam family "Bacterial small subunit ribosomal RNA", at positions 28 to 1381 of the family's 1533-position model. The record is from RNAcentral.